This 497-nucleotide ribosomal RNA is filed under the name uncultured bacterium. RNAcentral describes it as "partial 16S ribosomal RNA". It matches the Rfam family "Bacterial small subunit ribosomal RNA", at positions 28 to 507 of the family's 1533-position model. The record is from RNAcentral.
GAUGAACGCUGGCGGCGUGCCUAAUACAUGCAAGUCGAGCGAACAGACGAGGAGCUUGCUCCUCUGAUGUUAGCGGCGGACGGGUGAGUAACACGUGGAUAACCUACCUAUAAGACUGGGAUAACUUCGGGAAACCGGAGCUAAUACCGGAUAACAUUUUGAACCGCAUGGUUCAACAGUGAAAGACGGUCUUGCUGUCACUUAUAGAUGGAUCCGCGCCGCAUUAGCUAGUUGGUAAGGUAACGGCUUACCAAGGCAACGAUGCGUAGCCGACCUGAGAGGGUGAUCGGCCACACUGGAACUGAGACACGGUCCAGACUCCUACGGGAGGCAGCAGUAGGGAAUCUUCCGCAAUGGGCGAAAGCCUGACGGAGCAACGCCGCGUGAGUGAAGAAGGUCUUCGGAUCGUAAAACUCUGUUAUUAGGGAAGAACAAAUGUGUAAGUAACUAUGCACGUCUUGACGGUACCUAAUCAGAAAGCCACGGCUAACUACGUG